UGCGUAGGCGGACUAAUAAGUCAGUGAUGAAAUCUCUCGGCUCAACCGGGAAACUGCCAUUGAUACUGUUAGUCUUGAGUUCGGUUGAGGUAGGCGGAAUGUGUAAUGUAGCGGUGAAAUGCUUAGAUAUUACACAGAACACCAAUUGCGUAGGCAGCUUACUAGACCGACACUGACGCUGAGGCACGAAAGCGUGGGUAGCGAACAGGAUUAGAUACCCUGGUAGUCC
Molecule: ribosomal RNA, 229 nt
Filed under: uncultured bacterium
Lineage: Bacteria
Description: partial 16S ribosomal RNA
Rfam family: Bacterial small subunit ribosomal RNA
Source: RNAcentral